UUUGCCGAAAAAAAAAAAAAACAAGGGAAAAACAGUCACUGACCUGACCGGAGGCUAAGUGCUGGCUGGGUCCAAGAGUGGCCAGAUUGUUCUGUCAGGAACUCGGGCGGGCGGCGGACCCACAUGCACAGCACGGAGACGAUAUUAUAAUUAACAAAAGAUUUAUUCCUUAAGACACGGUCAGGCGGUCCAGGUCAACACAAAAAGGCUCGGCAAGAGUACAGGCAGGGAACAGGCAAAAACUCACGGUAAGUAGGUAAUCCGGGGUCGGGCAGGAUACACGAUGCGAACAGGAACAAAACACGAGAAGCACGAACAUUCAGGAAACACAGGAAACAAGGAUACACUCAUGGGACUCGAAACGACAAUCUGGCAAGUGACUACGGGAACAGGAGGUGACUAAAUACACGGGUGAGUGAUUACUGAUGCAGCGCAGGUGAGGAUAACGACCGGGUGAAACAAGAACAGCUGUGACGUGACAUGACUCGGGAGUGAAGCUAGAACACAAAACAGAGACCGGGGGACUACCAAAAUAAAACAGGAAACGGAACCUGGAACCAAAAUAAGACAAGGAAUCAGCUAGAACAAAAACACAGAUCAUGACAAGAACAAAAACACAGAUCAUGACAAUACACACCCUAAAGCAGAAACCUAACCUGUCCACCAACACAGCAACAUCACACACAUUUUGGAUUAGCUAAAUAAACCAUUAAAUAAACCAUAAAUCAGGAAGAGUAUAUAUAUUCUAUAUAUACUCUUCUUGUUAAAGCAAAGCUGUCCAUCACAAUAUGGCAUUCAGCGUAAUAUAUGCUGCUUGCUUAACUGCUGGACAGAACAAAAAAAAAAAAAAAGACUCUUGGAACCACAAGUAGCCUAGCUAUCUAAAAACGAAGCGUUCGGCUGGGAGCAUAAGGAACUAUGAGGUCUUUAAGAUAAGAAGGAGCUUUAUCAUUGAGUACUUUGUAGGUGAGUAGGAGAAUUUUAAAUUCUAUCCUACAUUUUACAGGCAGCCAGUUCAGCGAAGCUAAUGUAGGAGAAAUGUGAUCUCUCUUUCUAAUUCCUGUCAGAACUCUGGCUGCAGCAUUUUGAAUAAGCUGUAGGCUUUUUAAGGAGCUGUUAGGACAUCCUAUGAGUAAGCAGUUACAGUAGACCAACCUAGAGGUAACAAAUGCAUGGAUCAGUUUCUCUGCAUCACUCUGAGAGAGGAUGCUUCUGAUUUUAGCUAUAUUUCUAAGAUGGAAGUAGGCGGUUCUGGAGAUUUGUUUAAUCUAUGAUGUAAAAGAGAGAUCCUGGCCAAAGAUGACACCAAGAUUCCCCACAAUAGAAUCUGAAGCUAAUGUUAUGCCAUCCAGGGUGGCUAUCUGACUCAAUAGUGUCUCUCUCAGAUUUUUAGGCCCAACAAUAAGAAUUUCAGUUUUAUCUGAAUUUAGUUGAAGACAGUUUUGGGACAUCCAGGAUUUGAUGUGUUUUAAACAACCCUGAAUUUUGACUAGUUGAUCUGUUUCAAUUGGUUCCAAGGACAUAUAUAGCUGAGUAUCAUCUGCGUAGCAAUGAAAAUUAAUAGAAUGCUUUCUAAUAAUCUCACCUAGAGGAGACAUGUAUAGGCUAAACAAAAUUGGACCAAGCACAGAACCCUGUGGUACUCCAUAGCUAAUCCUUGUGUAUGUGGAGAAUUCGUCAUUAACAUGAACAAACUGGAAUCUGUUCAACAAAUAGGAUUUAAACCAUCCCAGUGCUGUUCCUUUAAUUCCGAUUCUAUGUUCUAGUCUCUGUAAUAGAAUGUUAUGAUCAAUGGUAUCAAAUGCGGCACUAAGAUCUAACAUGAGAAGGACAGAAACUAGACCAUUGUCCGAAGCUAAUAGAAGAUCAUUAGUGACUCUAACCAGAGCUGUUUCUGUGCUAUGAUUUUUUUCUAAAUCCUGACUUAAAAUCUUCAUACAGGUUAUUCCCACUAAGGUGGUAAGAUAAUUGUUUAGCCACGAUUUUUUCAAGAAUCUUGGAAAUAAAGGGUACAUUUGAAAUGGGCCUAUAGUUGGCUAGUUCUCCAGGGUCCAGGGUUUGUUUUUUUCAAUAGAGGUUUGACCACAGCCACCUUAAAAGCCUGUGUUACAUAGCCUAAAUGUAAAGAUUGGUUGAUUUGAUUUAAUAUGGACGAGCUGAUUAAAGGUAGAACUUCUUUGAGUAAUCUGGUUGGGAUUGGAUCUAAAAAACAAGUGGACGACUUGGAAGAGUUGAUUAUUGAGGUUAACUCCAUAUGAGUUAUGGGGAAGAAGCUGUUUAGGUAAGACAGAGGAUUUGGUAAAUUUAAAGUUGAUGGAUCUAGACAGUGCUUUCUGUCAUUUAGAAGAGGUCGCUGCUGAAUGGUUUUUUUUUAUUUUAUUAGUAAAGUAGUUCAUAAAGUCAUUGCUGCUGAGAUUUAAGGGGACAGUAGGCUUAACACAGCUAUGACUUUUAGUCAGCCUGGCUACAGUGCUGAAAAGAAACCUGGGUUGUUUUUGUUUUCCUCAAUUAGGGAGGAAUGAUAUGUUUUUCUAGCAGCAUGAAGUGCUUUUUUAUAUUUUAUUAGACUGUCCUUCCAUGCAAUGCAGUUUACAUUUAUUUUGUUGGAACGCCACUGUCUUUCUAGUUGUCUGGUCCUGUGCUUUAGGUUGCGGAUCUCUGAGUUAUACCACGGAGCUAACCUCCUCUGAUUCACUGUCUUCUUCUUCAGAGGAGCCACUGUGUCUAACAUUGUACGUAGAGAAGCUGCAGCAUCAUCUACAAGACAGUCAACCUGUUCAUAAGGAUCAAAGAGACUGUUCUCCUCUGUGUAUCUACAAGACAUUGAGGCAAAAGAUGAUGGAAUCAUCUGCUUGAAUCUGGCAACAGCGUUGUCACAUAAACAUCUGCUAUAGUAACAUUUCUUUCCGGCUAUUGUAAGGUCAAUUAUGCUAAAUUCAAAAGUUAAUAAGAAAUGGUCAGAUAACAGAAGAUUUGGGGGAAGAACUAUUAAAUGAUCAACUUCAACCCCAUAUGUCAGGACAAGAUCGAGGGUGUGGUUAAAACGAUGAGUGGGUUCAUUUACCUGCUGUGUAAAACCAGUAGUGUCUAUUAAGGAGUUAAAAGUAGUGCUGAGACAGUUGCUGUCAACAUCUACAUGAUUGUUAAAGUCUCCCACUACAAUGACUUUAUCUGUGCUAAGAACUAGGUCAGGUAAGAAUUCAGAGAAUUCAGUUAAGAACCCCGAAUAUGGAGCAGGAGGACCGUAAACAAUACAAAACACAACUGGCUUCUGAGUUUUAGAGUCUGGGUGAGAAAGGCUCAGAGUGAGGCUCUCAAAUGAGUUAUAACUAUGUUUAGGUUUAGGAGUAAUUAAUAAAUCUGAUUUAUAAAUGGCUGCUACUCCUCCACCUCCCCCUGUACUUCUUGGAACAUGAUAGUUGAUGUGACUCAUUGGAGUCGACUCAUUUAAAGUAACAUAUUCAUCCUGCUGCAGCCAGGUUUCAGUGAGACAGAACAGAUCUAUGCGAUGGUCACUUAUCAAGUCAUUUAUUAACAAGGAUUUAGAUGAGAGAGAUCUGAUAUUUAAUAAACCACACUUUAUUAAUUUGCUGUUACUUUGUUCUGUAAGAUGAACUGUUUUGAUGUUUAUAAAAUUCUGGUAAGUCACUCCUCUUUGAUUUGUGUGUGACUUGUAUAGUUUAGGUGGUCGAGAAGCAGACACAGUCUCUAUGCGAUAACUAAGACUAAGAGUGGGUGGCGGCUGUAGAGAACAUGCAGAGAGGCGUGUAAGACAGCGAAUCUGCGAACUUGGCUCCACUCUGAGUUGUCACGGAGUGACACUAGAGAUCUAGCCUCUAGUGUUCAUGCUGAGGGCCAUCUCCGCUGCAUACGCCUUGGAGUUUUCGAGUUUCAGAACAGCUGAGAAAAGUUGGUUUAAUCAACUCCGAGUUGAUUGACUCAGAGUUAAGCGCAUGCACCGCAACUAUAAAAAGCCUUGAUCAAUGGAGUGAAGACAUUACGAGUCACCAUGGCAACAGGAAAACAAAAGAGGUCCGGAAAUGGAUGGAAAUGACCCUAAGCAUAUAGCGACUACGAGUCAAAAAAAAAAAAAAGGAAACCGACUGCAGCGGCGAAAGAGAAAGAAUUAGCUUGGAAGAAAAUAGCUGCUCGAGUCAAUGCAUAAGUUUACAUUUUAAUCAUACAGUGUUCGGUGUAACUAAUGAAAUAAAUAAAUAAUUAAUAUUGUUGUUAUUUUUCACUUGUAAGUAAGGACUUAGUAAAGUAAAUUCUUCACUCAUCUAAAGAGUUCCUUCAGUAAUUGCAUAAAAUACCGAUUUUUGUAUGAAUUAAAAGUGCAUUGUUUUGUCUAUCCAUUUUUAAAAUUCCUUUUGUGGUUGAUGUGGGAUUUGUACAGUAAUGAUAAUUCAAUAAUCCAAUGUUUUAUGGAGAGCAAUUAUUACAUUGGGUUUUUAAAAGUUACCUAAAACUCAUGUAAUAAUAUAAGAAUUUAAUUUAAUUUUUUAUGUAGGUGCAAUCCUGCAGGCAUAAAAAGAACGUGGCUAAAAAUAAAAUAUAAAAACAUAAUUCAAACAGGGCAUGAUCAUAUCAUGAGUGUAGACUACCUGACUUUACAACAUUUGACAUAUUAAAUAACUAAAUAGCAUGCAAAGUAUAGCAGUGCAGCAGCAUUUUCAACAUGGCUGUAAUGUUUUCACAGUUAAAUCAUUCGACUACUCAGCCAACAGAAAGAAAGCAGAGGCCAGAACAACUGGUGGAGGACCUGCACCUCCAACACUGACGCAUGCAGAGGAGAAGGCCCUCAGCCUGAACACUGGAAAGCAGGGGCUGAAGGAAUUCCUGGAGGGAGUUCAUCAGAACCCGUCACUCCCCAGGAUAGAAGUGCAUCUGUAAAAUGCCUACCUAUAUAUUUGAUUUUUUAUAUUAUUUAUUUUUUUACAUAGGCUACUUUUGAUAUAUUCAUUUCUUAGACUCUGGGUUGGGUUCUGUGUUGGUCAUUUAUGAUCAGAAUCUGUUCUGAUCGUAAUGUCAGCCUCUUGGAUCCUCCUGUCACAACAGAAGCCCAGGCUAGUGUGGAAGAACAGCAGGAAGGUCCGUCCCAUUCUGCUGCACAGAUGCAAACAAAUAAGCUGUAGCAGUUUCCCCAUGUAGCAAUGUUGACUCUAAAGACAAGGAGCACAGGCUACUGCAGCUCAGACCAUGCUACACAAAGUUCUAAUGUUUCCUGCUAGUUUAAUGCAAAAGUUGUUCACAGAAGCAGAACGCCGAAUCAGAUAGGACACUAACCCAGGAACAUCCUAAUACUCCAGACGACCACUGGGCAUCCCGUCAGUGGGUCCAACCUUGUAAAGUGCCUACAGACAACUGUAUACUCUAUAUAACGCUAUAGAAAGGAACAGUCAAUGUUUUGGUGCAGAAUUUCUAGUAAAGGAUUUGAGGUCAUGUGACUUACUGAUGCAGAAUUAAACCUUUGUGAUUCGACCAAAUGUACUGUCCAUCCAAUCUAUAGCUUUUCAGCAAAAACAUUUUACAGUUGAUAACAGAAAAACGUGUUUUGCUUGAUUUAUUUAAAAUAUUCCGACAUAAAAUGAAAUUACAUUUUUAUAUUGCUAUUUACAAAAGAAAUUGCAUUAAUCUAAAACGCCCUUUGAAUGGUUUGUUGGAUGUUGAUGAUCACAGUUCUCUUCUCGAAAGGCACUAAGAAAUAACAGGCUAAUACAUUUCUUUAAUCAAUAGGCGGCACAGAUCAAAGUCAUAAAUAGCUUUUGCCUUUGGCAGUGACCAAACCAAGCUCAUUAGUUACGAAAGGAUUCUUUCAGCAGUUUUCCUUUACACGUUUUAAAGACUGAUCAAUAAAUACAAGCACAAACAUGGCACAAUUGUCAAGUUUUCCAGGAAUGUAACAAAAAAAAAACAAAAA
Betta splendens (Siamese fighting fish) is the source of this 5920-nucleotide long non-coding RNA. RefSeq lists it as uncharacterized. NCBI's taxonomy places the organism in Eukaryota, Metazoa, Chordata, Actinopteri, Anabantiformes, Osphronemidae. The transcript is spliced from 2 exons. The record is from RefSeq and is a predicted model, not a curated record.